UACGGCGGGGGCUAGCGUUGUUCGGAAUUACUGGGCGUAAAGCGCGCGUAGGCGGACCUGCAAGUCGGGGGUGAAAGCCCGAGGCUCAACCUCGGAACUGCCUUCGAUACUGCGGGUCUCGAGUCCGGGAGAGGUGAGUGGAAUUCCUAGUGUAGAGGUGAAAUUCGUAGAUAUUAGGAAGAACACCAGUGGCGAAGGCGGCUCACUGGCCCGGUUCUGACGCUGAGGUGCGAAAGCGUGGGGAGCAAACAGG
This 253-nucleotide ribosomal RNA is filed under the name uncultured bacterium. RNAcentral's name for it is "partial 16S ribosomal RNA". It matches the Rfam family "Bacterial small subunit ribosomal RNA", at positions 524 to 776 of the family's 1533-position model. The record is from RNAcentral.